UACAGAGGUCUCAAGCGUUGUUCGGAUUCACUGGGCGUAAAGGGUGCGUAGGUGGUGAGGUAAGUCAGAUGUGAAAUCUCCGAGCUCAACUCGGAAACUGCAUUGGAAACUACCUUGCUCGAGGGUUGGAGGGGGGACUGGAAUGCUUGGUGUAGCAGUGAAAUGCGUAGAUAUCAAGCGGAACACCAGUGGCGAAGGCGAGUCCCUGGACAACUCCUGACACUGAGGCACGAAAGCUAGGGGAGCAAACAGG
Molecule: ribosomal RNA, 253 nt
Filed under: uncultured bacterium
Lineage: Bacteria
Description: partial 16S ribosomal RNA
Rfam family: Bacterial small subunit ribosomal RNA
Source: RNAcentral